GAGGAGGAAGGAAUGGGCAACGGUAGGUCAGCAUGCCCCGAAUUAUCCGGGCUACACGCGGGCUACAAUGGUCAGGACAAUGGGUAUCAACACCGAAAGGUGAAGGCAAUCUCCUAAACCUGUCCUUAAGUUCGGAUUGUGGGCUGCAACUCGCCCACAUGAAGCUGGAAUCUGUAGUAAUCGCGUCUCAACAUGGCGCGGUGAAUAUGUCCCUGCUCCUU
This 221-nucleotide ribosomal RNA is filed under the name uncultured Methanolinea sp. RNAcentral's name for it is "partial 16S ribosomal RNA". It matches the Rfam family "Archaeal small subunit ribosomal RNA", at positions 1119 to 1338 of the family's 1478-position model. Lineage: Archaea; Methanobacteriati; Methanobacteriota; Methanomicrobia; Methanomicrobiales; Methanoregulaceae. The record is from RNAcentral.